AGUCAAGUAAUUAAGUGCAUGUGGUGGAUGCCUUGGCAGUCAGAGGCGAUGAAAGACGUGAUAGCCUGCGAAAAGCUCCGGGGAGGCGGCAAAUAUCCUUUGAUCCGGAGAUUUCUGAAUGGGGGAACCCACCUACUUUAAGGUAGGUAUUGCAACAUGAAUACAUAGUGUUGCAAGGCGAACGAGGGGAAGUGAAACAUCUCAGUACCCUUAGGAAAAGAAAUCAAUUGAGAUUCCCUCAGUAGCGGCGAGCGAACGGGGAUCAGCCCAUUAAGUUAUGUGUGUUUUAGUGGAACGCUCUGGGAAGUGCGAACGUAGAGGGUGAUAUUCCCGUACACGAAAGGGCACACAUAAUGAUGACGAGUAGGGCGAGGCACGUGAAACCUUGUCUGAAUAUGGGGGGACCAUCCUCCAAGGCUAAAUACUCCUGACUGACCGAUAGUGAACCAGUACCGUGAGGGAAAGGCGAAAAGAACCCCUGUGAGGGGAGUGAAAUAGAUCCUGAAACCGCAUGCAUACAAGCAGUGGGAGCACCUUCGUGGUGUGACUGCGUACCUUUUGUAUAAUGGGUCAGCGACUUAUAUUCAGUAGC
This 592-nucleotide ribosomal RNA is filed under the name Acinetobacter pittii. RNAcentral's name for it is "partial 23S ribosomal RNA". It matches the Rfam family "Bacterial large subunit ribosomal RNA", at positions 1 to 641 of the family's 2925-position model. Lineage: Bacteria; Pseudomonadati; Pseudomonadota; Gammaproteobacteria; Moraxellales; Moraxellaceae. The record is from RNAcentral.